This 492-nucleotide ribosomal RNA is filed under the name uncultured bacterium. RNAcentral's name for it is "partial 16S ribosomal RNA". It matches the Rfam family "Bacterial small subunit ribosomal RNA", at positions 29 to 507 of the family's 1533-position model. The record is from RNAcentral.
AGUGAACGCUGGCGGUAGGCCUAACACAUGCAAGUCGAACGGCAGCACAGUAAGAGCUUGCUCUUACGGGUGGCGAGUGGCGGACGGGUGAGGAAUACAUCGGAAUCUACUUUUUCGUGGGGGAUAACGUAGGGAAACUUACGCUAAUACCGCAUCCGACCUACGGGUGAAAGCAGGGGAUCUUCGGACCUUGCGCGAUUGAAUGAGCCGAUGUCGGAUUAGCUAGUUGGCGGGGUAUAGGCCCACCAAGGCGGCGAUCCGUAGCUGGUCUCAGAGGAUGAUCAGCCACACUGGAACGGAGACACGGUCCAGACUCCUACGGGAGGCCGCAGUGGGGAAUAUUGGACAAUGGGCGCGAGCCUGAUCCAGCCAUACCGCGUGGGUGAAGAAGGCCUUCGGGUUGGAAAGCCCUUUUGUUGGGAAAGAAAAGCAGCAGGUUAAUACCCCGCUGUUCUGACGGUACCCAAAGAAUAAGCACCGGCUAACUUCGUG